This is a long non-coding RNA of Salvelinus fontinalis (brook trout), 6799 nucleotides long. RefSeq lists it as uncharacterized. The transcript has 12 exons. Lineage: Eukaryota; Metazoa; Chordata; Actinopteri; Salmoniformes; Salmonidae. The record is from RefSeq and is a predicted model, not a curated record.
CGCACAGAGCUGGGCGCACAGAGCUGGGCGCACAGAGCUGGACGCACAGAGCUAGGCGCACAGAGCUGGACGCACAGAGCUGCCUGAGUCAAUCAAAGUCCUGUUCAGACCUGUGGUGGUCAUGGUGCCUGACCUGCAGCAGAUCAGUGAAACCAUGCUCUUCUCAGGGGGAUUCCGCUUGGCCAAAAUGAGCAGCAUAUCCUCUCAUCAACACACACACACGCACACGCACACGCAUACACUCACAUGCACACACACAUACACUGUUAUAGAUAAAUAAUGUAUCUGACAUUGUUAGACAGUCACUUUACUCAGUUAGUGAUCUUCAUUUGAAUGCAGAUUCUGGCCAAGAAGAUGACAGUGCUGUACAAGCUGGCCAGGGAGCAGCUGUCUAAGCAGUUCCGCUAUGACUUUGGACUGGAGGCUCUAAAAUGUGUGUUAGUGAUGGCGGGAGAACUGAAGAGAGGCUCACCAGAUCUCAAUGAAGACCUGUGAAAGUUCACUGUUAUCCAUCCGAUUCCUCUGUAUUUUAUUUACACUAAGUAGACAAAGAGAGCAUUCAUGAUUUUCUGGAAAUUGUGGGUGGUUUUAUUUCUAUGCCCUUGAAGACAUCUUAGACAAUUGUUCUCUUUCUCUCUCUCUCUGUUUUUUAAAAUUAUCUUUCCCCUUCUCCUUCCCCAACUCCUUCUCACCCUCUCUCUCUCUCACUGUUUCUCUCUCAGGAUGUAGUGUUGAUGCGUGCCCUGUGUGACAUGGACCUGCCUAAGUUUGUGUUUGAGGACGUGCCUCUGUUCCUGGGGCUGAUCUCAGACCUGUUCCCGGGGCUUGACUAACCCCGUGUGCGCUACCCCAGCUUCAUCGAUGCUGCAGAGCAGACCCUUCUCUGUCUCAACGUUAAAUCUCAGGGCAUAGGAAACUUUGUGAAAAUGACCAUUAGCAUUAUACAAUUGAAAAAUGACAAAUUCUGUUAUUAUUUCAACACAUGAAACUGGAGAUGUUAAGUCCCUAUCCUAAUGCUGUGGUGUGUCUGUGAUGUUCAGGUGGACAAGGUGGUGAAGAUGUACGAGACCAUGAUGACCAGACACACUGCUAUUGUCACGUUCGUCGUAAGGAGGAGACCAAGGCACAGCGUGAUAUGCAUACAUUCUUCUUUUAAUGAAGAAAUAACACAAAACAAACGAACAAAGUAACAAAACGAUAGUGAAGCUAUAUAAGACGAGUGCUGACAGGCAACUACACAUAGACAAGAACCUACGAAAAACUAAAGGGAAAAUGGCAACCUAAAUAUGAUCCCCAAUCAGAGACAACAAUAAACAGCUGCCUCUGAUUGGGAACCAAUUCAGGCCACCAUAGACCUACAUAUGCCUAGACUUACAAUCACACCUAGACAUACAAAACCCCUAGACAAUACAAAACAAGCAUACCCACCCUCGUCAUGCCCUGACCUGACCAAAAUAAUACAGAAAACAUAGAAUACUAAGGUCAGGGCGUGACAGCUAUGCUGGUGGGCCCCACAGGUGGAGGCAAGUCAGUGGUCAUCAGCACUCUGUGCCAGGCCCAGACCAGGUUAGGCUUGGUGACCAAGCUGUACUCCCUGUACCCUAAAGCCAUGAGUGUCAUCGAGGUCUAUGGCAUUCUGGACCCUGUCACCAGAGACUGGACUGAUGGGAUCCUGUCCAACAUCUUCAGAGACAUCAACAAGCCCACCGACGGAAAGGAGAGGAGGUACAUUCUGUUUGAUGGGGAAGGAGAUGCUCUGUGGAUGGAGAACAUAAACUCAGGAAUGAACGACAACAAACUGCUCACCCUGGCCAAUCGAGAGAGGAUCCGUCUGCAGAACCACUGUGCUAUGCGCUUCGAGGAACCACCACACCUGGACAAGCUGUUUGUGUAGUACGUGCCCAACACUAUUGACAUGAUAGUGGAGGGUAUUGUUGAUGGCAAAUAGGUGGAGAAACUGAAGACCAUCGUCUUUCAGACAGAUUACAACAUGUCCCUACCGUGGACACCACACAAGCCAGCUAGCCAAUGGAACAGAUGGUGAAGAUCAAGAGGCCUGUAGUUCUGGUGGGAGAGUCUGGCAUCUCCAAGACAGCCACCACCCAGAAUUUCCUGAAGAAUCUCAACAUGGACACUACUCCUCCAGAUGAUGCUGAUCAUCAACUUCUCAUCGCAGACCACCUCCAUGGACCUCCAGAGGAACAUUGAGGCCGGCGUGGAGAAGAGGACCAAGAAGAUAUACGACCCUCCCAUGGGCAAGAGACUGCUGGUCUUCAUGGAUGAUCUCAACAAGCCCAGGGUGGAUGAGAAUGGGACCCAGCAGCACAUUGCCCUGCUGAAGGAGGAACGAGGUGGGCACUCACUUAAUUUCCCUCUUCAGGGUCUUCAACAUCCCCUUUCCAGAGGAGGAGUACUUCCAUCUCGUCUACUCCUCCAUCCUCAAGACACACCAGGGAGAUCCUGGAGGAGUACAAUGAGAACAAGUCCAGGAUGAACCUGGUUCUGUUUGAUGACGCCGUGGAGCACCGGACCAUGUGGAGGACAAAGCCAAGGAUAUCGAGGAGCAGAACAAGUUGUGCUUCUGUUUUGUCGUCUGGCACGCCACCGCUGUGCAAAUCGUUUGUCAAGCCACCCAAGCAGGUCCCGGAGGUGUGUGAGUGCAUCCUGGUUAUGCGAGGCCAGGAGAUCAGCUGGAAGUCAGCCAAGAGCAUGAUGGAAAUGUACUGUGAUGCCAUCAACGCCAGUGUCAUGACGUUGCCUGCGUGGGUAUAGCAAACCCCAUCCCCCUCUCCCUGCCUCUCCCUUUCCACCACAACCCAUGCGGUGAUCACAGAGAGAUGUCGUAAAUUCCUGAGAAUCUCCCCACCACAAACAGUAUUAAGACAGAGGGUAAACUUUCAGGACAAAGGAAUUCUCUUCCACCUCACAGAACUUGAGGUACGAACAUAUUUCAUGUUCCUGCCAAAGUAGGAAAUAUUGGUGAAGAUCCUAGCUAUUAACAUGUCCAUUUGUCCCCAUGUGGGAAUCUCAGGAGAGACUGUGGGACCACAUUACCAUACCGCUGUUUAUAUAAUAACCUCAGAUAUGAGGUUUACAUCUGUUUGUUGUAUAAAAUGAAUGAGUGAGUAUGAUACUGUUUGUAUAAUUGUGUAAUAUGAUUUUGGACUGUUUAAUUAAGAAAAAUACAAAUACCUUUUUGAUUUGAACUAAAUCCAAGGACCGCCCUGAGCCCAGUAUGGGUCAGAGACCAUGGGACCACCCCUCUCUGCUAUCUGAAUAAAACCCAACUCCUAAGAAAUUACCAUUAAGACCAUGUUUCUCUCAAUCACGAGAGGACAAAGGUUGCAGACCAGCUUACCUCGAUAACGAGAGGGCCAAGGUUUGAGACCAGACUGCUGAAUCUUUUAACCAUCCCACGUGGUUAAAACUCUUAUACGAAUCAUAACAAGUCUUUGAUAUUGACUUCUAGUCUGCAGCUAGGAAUUCGGUAUCAUUGAACGCGAAGAAAGACAACCGCCGAAACAUCCAUUCUAUAACGAAUGUCACUCUGAACUCUCCACAAUAACUCCAACAAAAACGAACUUCUCUCCAACGAUCAAGACGACACACACACUGAACGUAACUAUAUAUAUAUUGAUUGCAAUUGUUCCCGAAUGAGUGAGCGUUCAUGUGUAAGGAUUAGCAUGUCAAUUGUUAUAGUUAUGGACUCUGUAGUGAAUUAUUAGUCGAACGCAACUUUCCCUUUGUCUAACAGCCGCCAUGCCGGUUCAGCCCACUAGGGUAUAUUGCUCCCAUCAUUUCAUGUAACUAUUUUAAGUUUGUUUGUUUGUUUAUGCAUUUCUGUGAAUUAAUUAGUUAGUAAUAAAUAAAUGAUUUAAGACAAUUGAUGUAUGGAUGACUCAUAGUGAAGACUGGGUUCGUGCAGAUAAUCAACGAUUUACGACGUUUGGAAUGAGACUGACGAGGUAGAGUAAAUAAAUCAUUAAUUAGAAGACUAUUGAUCAGAUAUGAAAAUAUUUGAAAGGUUAUAUUGGGAAAUUAUAACUUUGUAAUCUAAUAACUUUCCCUGGUGCCCUCAAAUUCAUAGUUAAUUGGUUACGUUAUUACUCAAGUGAUAGCGUAAGCCCUAAUUACAGGAAUAUAUGAUAAAAACUAUAAGUCUUCAAUUUAACGAUAGCAAAGACACGACACCAGCCAGGUCAAGACUGUCAGAGGUAGGUCACCUCUGUUCUGUGGUGUUCACACCAAACAGGACAACAAUAGGUCUAACAAAAUUCAUAUUGCAACUUUAACAUGAGCCAUAAAAUAGCAAAUACACCAUUUUACAUUAGUCUGACAUAUGUUCACUCUAUUCGCCCUGUGUUUCCCCUUGGCCAAGCUUCUUGGAGAACCUGAACACCAGCUUUGAGGAGAUGCAGACUAUCAGUAAGGCUGGUUCUGGGAUGUUCAAGUUUGUGGAGGCUGUCAUGGGCUACUGUGACGUCGCCAGGGAGAUCAAGCCCAAGAGAGUGAAGGUGAGGUGCCUAGAGAAGAACGUCUUCCAGAGCAAGCGUGAGCUGGAGAGUAUUCAGAACCAUCCAUAGGGAGCUGGGGGCGUUGGGGGACAAGUACAAUACUGCCAGGGGGGAGAUGCAGCUGCUGCACAAAGAGGCUGAGGCCAUGGAGAGGAGGCUGGUCGCUGCUGACGAACUCAUCUCAGGCCUGGGCUCAGAGAACAAGCGGAGUGGAUAUAUACACACACAGAGAAGACAGCAUGGCUUACAGACAGUUGAAAGGCUGAGGACCAUGUUGAUAUGUUCCAUUUUCUGACGACCUUUUCUGUAUCUUCCAGUCCUUCCACUUCUUCCACAACAAGGAGAUGGACUACAAGAUCCCUCCUGACGGGCCCAAGGAAAAUGAUGUUGGUGGAUGAAGUGGAGGCCCAAUGUGAUGUGGUUAUCUGGGUUGCAGGUCCCAGAGUCCUAGUUGACUGCUCUGGUUCAGGCCACCUGCAGGAGGAACGGCUGCACUGCUCCACACUCUACACACAGGUCACCCAGUACAGCACUGAGGAGGAGGUCAAUGUGAGACCUGGACAGGGCUGCUUUGUGUCAGGCCUCUAUCUGGAGGGAGCAGACUGGGACAAAGAGAGAGGUUGUCUGGUCAGGAGUAAACCCAUCCUCAAGGUCAUCCCCAUAGAGGCACAUCACCUCAAACUACAGUUAGGGGGCAGCACCACUCACCACCUAAUCUGUUUAGAAUCUGGAUAUCUGGGAUAUCUGGCUGAGCUACUGUUCUCUCUAGCUACUGUCCUCUCUAGCUACUGUCUCCUCUAGCUACUGUCCUGUCUAGCUACUGUCUCCUCUAGCUACUGUCUCCUCUAGCUACUGUCCUCUCUAGCUACUGUCCUAUCUAGCUACUGUCCUCUCUAGCUACUGUCCUAUCUAGCUACUGUCCUCUCUAGCUACUGUCCUCUCUAGCUACUGUCCUCUCUAGCUGCUGUCCUCUCUAGCUGCUGUCCUAUCUAGCUACUGUCCUCUCUAGCUACUGUCCUCUCUAGCUGCUGUCCUCUCUAGCUGCUGUCCUAUCUAGCUACUGUCCUAUCUAGCUCUGUCUCCUCUAGCUACUGUCUCCUCUAGCUACUGUCUCCUCUAGCUACUGUCCUCUCUAGCUACUGUCCUCUCUAGCUACUGUCCUCUCUAGCUGCUGUCCUAUCUAGCUACUGUCUCCUCUAGCUACUGUCCUAUCUAGCUACUGCCUCCUCUAGCUACUGUCCUCUCUAGCUACUGUCCUCUCUAGCUGCUGUCCUCUCUAGCAGAUGUAUAUUUUUCCAUUUUCUAACUGUGUCCAUGAUGUCAGUGUAUGUGUCCCUUAGAACACUCUGAGGACUCCAGUGUACACCACGUUCACGACGAAUGUUUUGGGUCUGAGGCUUGUGUUUGAGGGAGACCUCUUCACCACCAAGCACAUUACAUUUUACAUUUACAUUACAUUUUAGUCAUUUAGCAGACGCUCUUAUCCAGAGCGACUUACAGUAGAGUGCAUACAUUUUAUUACAUUUUACAUACUGAGACAAGGAUAUCCCUACCGGCCAAACCCUCCCUAACCCGGACGACGCUAUGCCAAUUGUGCGUCGCCCCACGGACCUCCCGGUUGCGGCCGGCUGCGACAGAGCCUGGGCGCGAACCCAGCCCAGCCUGGGCGCGAACCCAGAGACUCUGGUGGCGCAGCUAGCACUGCGAUGCAGUGCCCUAGACCACUGCUCCACCCGGGAGGCCAUUAUCCCCCACUGGGUGCUGUCUGUGCAUCAACGCCAACUGUUUCUGUUUUUGUUUUAUAUUUAUAUGUAGAUAAUUUAAAGACACAUUUUAAAGGCUGAUUUUAUUAUAUCACUACAACACAAAUAAAUGUUUGGGAAACUAUCACAUAUCGCAUUCGAUGACAUGCUUAUAAACAUACUAUUACAUAAAUAGAAAUAUUUCAGAAAAUGGAUUACUCCACAGGUGUUCUUAUUGUCGCUCUAACACUAGGUGGCAGCCCACCACAGUCCCUGGUCCUCUCAGGGUUGUGUAGUAGAGCCCCACAGCAGAACUCCUGUCUCCAGUCAGUCCUCUGGAGAGGUGCCAGUUGAUCUCAGAGCCUCUAACCCGAACCCCUGCUAUUUUUAAUCUCUGAAGACAGAUUUCUUUAUUAAGUCCUCUGUCUGCUUUAUUCCUUGUGACAUUUCUAACGCUCAGCAUCUGUGCUCAGGUCACCCCGACCGACUGACGGGGGAGAUAAAUCCACAAGGAGAAGAAAGUCUGCUUUGUAUUCAUUUUAA